CCUACGGGCGGCAGCAGUGAGGAAUAUUGGUCAAUGGACGAGAGUCUGAACCAGCCAAGUAGCGUGAAGGAUGACUGCCCUAUGGGUUGUAAACUUCUUUUAUAUGGGAAUAAAAUGUUCCACGUGUGGGAUUUUGUAUGUACCAUAUGAAUAAGGAUCGGCUAACUCCGUGCCAGCAGCCGCGGUAAUACGGAGGAUCCGAGCGUUAUCCGGAUUUAUUGGGUUUAAAGGGAGCGUAGGUGGAUUGUUAAGUCAGUUGUGAAAGUUUGCGGGUCAACCGUAAAAUUGAAGUUGAAACUGGCAGUCUUGAGUACAGUAGAGGUAGGCGGAAUUCGUGGUGUAGCGGUGAAAUGCUUAGAUAUCACGAAGAACUCCGAUUGCGAAGGCAGUUCACUGGACUGCAACUGACACUGAGGCUCGAAAGUGUGGGUAUCAAACAGGAUUAGAUACCCUUGUAGUC
RNAcentral lists this ribosomal RNA (460 nucleotides) under uncultured bacterium. RNAcentral's name for it is "partial 16S ribosomal RNA". It matches the Rfam family "Bacterial small subunit ribosomal RNA", at positions 338 to 795 of the family's 1533-position model. The record is from RNAcentral.